GUCUAUGGCCAUGCCACCCUGAACAUGCCAGAUCUUGUCUGAUCUCGGAAGCUAAGCAGAGUUGGGCCUGGUUAGUACUUGGCUGGGAGAUCACCUAGGAAUAUCAGGUGCUAUAGGCA
This 119-nucleotide ribosomal RNA is filed under the name Pteropus alecto (black flying fox). The record is from RNAcentral. Lineage: Eukaryota; Metazoa; Chordata; Mammalia; Chiroptera; Pteropodidae.